ACAGGUGCUGCAUGGCUGUCGUCAGCUCGUGUCGUGAGAUGUUGGGUUAAGUCCCGCAACGAGCGCAACCCUUGCCUUUAGUUGCCAGCAGUUCGGCUGGGCACUCUAAAGGGACUGCCGGUGUUAAACCGGAGGAAGGUGGGGAGUGACGUCAAGUCCUCAUGGCCUUUAUGACCAGGGCUACACACGUACUACAAUGGCCGAUACAAAGGGCAGCGACACUGCGAGGUGAAGCCAAUCCCGUAAAAUCGGUCUCAGUCCGGAUUGGAGUCUGCAACUCGACUCCAUGAAGUUGGAAUCGCUAGUAAUCGUGGAUCAGCAUGCCACGGUGAAUACGUUCCCGGGCCUU
RNAcentral lists this ribosomal RNA (349 nucleotides) under uncultured Desulfobulbus sp. RNAcentral describes it as "bacterial SSU rRNA". It matches the Rfam family "Bacterial small subunit ribosomal RNA", at positions 1034 to 1382 of the family's 1533-position model. The record is from RNAcentral. Lineage: Bacteria; Pseudomonadati; Thermodesulfobacteriota; Desulfobulbia; Desulfobulbales; Desulfobulbaceae.